RNAcentral lists this ribosomal RNA (251 nucleotides) under uncultured bacterium. Its description in RNAcentral is "partial 16S ribosomal RNA". It matches the Rfam family "Bacterial small subunit ribosomal RNA", at positions 524 to 774 of the family's 1533-position model. The record is from RNAcentral.
UACAUAGGGGGCAAGCGUUGUCCGGAUUUAUUGGGCGUAAAGCGAGUGCAGGCGGUUCAAUAAGUCUGAUGUGAAAGCCUUCGGCUCAACCGGAGAAUCGCAUCAGAAACUGUUGAACUUGAGUGCAGAAGAGGAGAGUGGAACUCCAUGUGUAGCGGUGGAAUGCGUAGAUAUAUGGAAGAACAUCAGUGGCGAAGGCGGCUGUCUGGUCUGCAACUGACGCUGAGGCUCGAAAGCGUGGGGAUCAAACA